CAGUAGCCGCGGUAACACGAGGGAUCCUAGCGUUGUUCGGAAUCAUUGGGCGUAAAGGGUGUGUAGGCGGCCUUGUAAGUCAGUUGUGAAAGCCCCGGGCUCAACCCGGGAAGUGCUUCUGAUACUGCUUGGCUUGAGUAUUGGAUGGGUGAGUGGAAUUCCAGGUGUAGUGGUGAAAUACGUAGAUAUCUGGAGGAACACCGGCGGCGAAGGCGGCUCACUGGCCAUAUACUGACGCUGAAACACGAAAGCGUGGGUAGCAAACAGGAUUAGAUACCCCGGUAGUCCCUGUCUCUUAUAC
RNAcentral lists this ribosomal RNA (301 nucleotides) under uncultured bacterium. RNAcentral describes it as "partial 16S ribosomal RNA". It matches the Rfam family "Bacterial small subunit ribosomal RNA", at positions 509 to 807 of the family's 1533-position model. The record is from RNAcentral.